This 500-nucleotide ribosomal RNA is filed under the name uncultured bacterium. Its description in RNAcentral is "partial 16S ribosomal RNA". It matches the Rfam family "Bacterial small subunit ribosomal RNA", at positions 30 to 523 of the family's 1533-position model. The record is from RNAcentral.
AUUGAACGCUGGCGGCAUGCCUUACACAUGCAAGUCGAACGGCAGCACGGGAGCAAUCCUGGUGGCGAGUGGCGAACGGGUGAGUAAAGUAUCGGAACGUGCCCAGUCGUGGGGGAUAACGUAGCGAAAGUUACGCUAAUACCGCAUACGAUCUAUGGCUGAAAGCGGGGGAUCGCAAGACCUCGCGCGAUUGGAGCGGCCGAUAUCAGAUUAGGUAGUUGGCGGGGUAAAGGCUCACCAAGCCGACGAUCUGUAGCUGGUCUGAGAGGACGACCAGCCACACUGGGACUGAGACACGGCCCAGACUCCUACGGGAGGCAGCAGUGGGGAAUUUUGGACAAUGGGCGAAAGCCUGAUCCAGCCAUGCCGCGUGCAGGAUGAAGGCCUUCGGGUUGUAAACUGCUUUUGUACGGAACGAAAAGGUUUGGCCUAAUAAGCUGAGCUCAUGACGGUACCGUAAGAAUAAGCACCGGCUAACUACGUGCCAGCCGCCGCGGUAA